UACGGGGGGGGCAAGCGUUGUUCGGAAUUACUGGGCGUAAAGGGCUCGUAGGCGGCCUACUAAGUCAGGCGUGAAAUCCCUCGGCUUAACCGGGGAACUGCGUCUGAUACUGGAUGGCUUGAGAUUGGGAGAGGGAUGCGGAAUUCCAGGUGUAGCGGUGAAAUGCGUAGAUAUCAGGAGGAACACCGGUGGCGAAGGCGGUUCUCUGGGCAUGUCCUGACGCUGAGGAGCGAAAGUGUGGGGAGCGAACAGG
This 253-nucleotide ribosomal RNA is filed under the name uncultured bacterium. Its description in RNAcentral is "partial 16S ribosomal RNA". It matches the Rfam family "Bacterial small subunit ribosomal RNA", at positions 524 to 776 of the family's 1533-position model. The record is from RNAcentral.